GCUCGUACCCCGAGGAGCACUUCACGGAGGAGGCCCCGCGGCGCCUGCUGGGCGCCUUCCAGCGCCGCCUGGCCCGAAUCUCCCGGCGCGUCCAGCGCCGCAACGCCGCGCUGCCCCUGCCAUACCCCUACCUCGACCCCGCCGCCAUCGAGAACAGCAUCGCCAUCUGAGGGACGUCCCCAAUGUCCCCAAUGUCCCCUGGUGUCCCCAGGUGUCCCCAAGACCCCCAGGUGUCCCCAAGACCCUCACCCGUCUCCCCAUCCCUUGGUGUCCCCAAAUCCCCAGGCGUUCCCAAAUCCCCAGCUGUCUCCAACCCCACAUCUCCCAAACGCCUCUGCAUGUCCCCAAUGUCCCCAAUGUCCCCGGGUGUCCCCUGGUGUCCCCAAUGUCCCCUGGUGUCCCCAGGUGUCCCCAAGACCCCCAGGUGUCCCCAAGACCCUCAGGAGUCUCCCCAUCCCUUGGUGUCCCCAAAUCCCCAGGCGUUCCCAAAUCCCCAGCUGUCUCCAACCCCACAUUUCCCAAACGCCUCCGCAUGUCCCCAAAAUCCCCUGGUGUCCCCAAUGUCCCCUGGUGUCCCUAAGACCCUCAGGUGUCCCCAAAUCCCCCAGUGUCCCCAAUGUCCCCAGGCGUUCCC
RNAcentral lists this long non-coding RNA (634 nucleotides) under Anas platyrhynchos platyrhynchos (common mallard). RNAcentral's name for it is "lncRNA (ENSAPLG00000018010.1)". The record is from RNAcentral. Lineage: Eukaryota; Metazoa; Chordata; Aves; Anseriformes; Anatidae.